UGGGGAAUUUUGGACAAUGGGCGAAAGCCUGAUCCAGCGACGCCGCGUGGAGGAUGAAGGUCUUCGGAUUGUAAACUCCUUUUGGAGGGGACGAAUGCCCGCAAGGGCUUGACGGUACCCUCAGAAAAAGCCACGGCUAACUACGUGCCAGCAGCCGCGGUAAUACGUAGGUGGCGAGCGUUACUCGGAAUUACUAGGUGUAAAGCGCUUGCAGGUGGUUGGAUAAGUCUGUGGUUAAAUUUUCCGGCUUAACCGGAAACAGUCCAUAGAUACUAUCUGGCUUGAGUGUGGCAGGGGGCAACGGAAUUCCAGGUGUAGCGGUGAAAUGCGUAGAUAUCUGGAGGAACACCGAUGGCGAAAGCAGUUGCCUGGGCCAAUACUGACACUGAGGAGCGAAAGCUAGGGGAGCAAACAGG
RNAcentral lists this ribosomal RNA (416 nucleotides) under uncultured bacterium. Its description in RNAcentral is "bacterial SSU rRNA". It matches the Rfam family "Bacterial small subunit ribosomal RNA", at positions 355 to 776 of the family's 1533-position model. The record is from RNAcentral.